AAGAUAUGGACUAUCACAUGCUACACCGCGGUGCGGGGAGGACAAGUAAGAACCAAAGUUGUCGGACGUGGUUGGAAGGCAUUUGUAGGUGACAAAGCCUUAGUUUUUGGGGAUGUUUGUGUCUUCAAAUUGAUCAGAGGUCUCAGAAGUAUUUCCUUCAAGGUCACCAUUUUCAGAGCACCUCAACCGGCCAAGUCCCGCACUUUACAAUUACAAGGGAGUGGUCAAUCGCUUCUGUAGGUGAGGCUGCUUCUUCCAGGCAUGUGGGUUGCUCCGGGGCUAAAUGUAAGGGUAAAGAGAAGAGCUCUUCUCUUGACAGAAACAAGGCAUGUCCUUUCUCCUCAAUUGGUUUCAUUCAAUCGCAGUACAGAAAAACAAGACGAAGAUUGCAAAUGGCAAUGACGAAGAAUUAUCUCCCUCAUCGCUGCCUGAACAUACCAGCUGCCUUCACAAGGGAUCACCUAAACUUGGAAAGCAGAAAAGAGAUGGUUACUCUAAUGGUCGGAAACUGGUCAUGGUCGACUAAGUUGAUUAUCAGCAACCCAUCAUUGUCCGGAGCCAGGUUCAGGGGUGGGUUCAGUGCUUUUGCGAAGGAAAACUCUCUGGAAGCGGGAGAUUUGUGCACUUUUGAGCUCAUUCACAGGGCAAAACUGGUAUUCAGAACUUCCAUCAGCACGGUCAAAAAAGGAUCAAAACGAUUAGAGAAGGGAGAAGAAGUGUGAUAUCACUGCAGCAUAUGGAAAAGUUUACUUUUGUUUAAUUUGAUUCCACUCUCCCUUAAUUACACCGUCUAAUGAUGUUUUCGAUAGCUCAGCUGUACUUGUGAAAGCUCGGACCUAUAUUCGGACAUAACAAUAUCUGCCUUCAACGUGGGAUCGAC
Punica granatum (pomegranate) is the source of this 880-nucleotide non-coding RNA. The record is from RefSeq and is a predicted model, not a curated record. NCBI's taxonomy places the organism in Eukaryota, Viridiplantae, Streptophyta, Magnoliopsida, Myrtales, Lythraceae.